This 301-nucleotide ribosomal RNA is filed under the name uncultured bacterium. RNAcentral describes it as "partial 16S ribosomal RNA". It matches the Rfam family "Bacterial small subunit ribosomal RNA", at positions 509 to 807 of the family's 1533-position model. The record is from RNAcentral.
CAGUAGCCGCGGUAAUACGAAUGGGGCUAGCGUUGUUCGGAAUUACUGGGCGUAAAGCGCACGUAGGCGGACAUUUAAGUCAGGGGUGAAAUCCCGGGGCUCAACCCCGGAACUGCCUUUGAUACUGGGUGUCUAGAGUAUGGAAGAGGUGAGUGGAAUUCCGAGUGUAGAGGUGAAAUUCGUAGAUAUUCGGAGGAACACCAGUGGCGAAGGCGGCUCACUGGUCCAUUACUGACGCUGAGGUGCGAAAGCGUGGGGAGCAAACAGGAUUAGAUACCCCUGUAGUCCCUGUCUCUUAUAC